RNAcentral lists this ribosomal RNA (119 nucleotides) under Triticum aestivum (bread wheat). The record is from RNAcentral. Lineage: Eukaryota; Viridiplantae; Streptophyta; Magnoliopsida; Poales; Poaceae.
GGAUGCGAUCAUACCAGCACUAAAGCACCGGAUCCCAUCAGAACUCCGAAGUUAAGCGUGCUUGGGCGAGAGUAGUACUAGGAUGCGUGAUCUCCUGGGAAGUCCUCGUGUUGCAUUCC